AGUGUGGUGGAGGUACCUGUACCAGACAGGGGGAGACAGACCAGGGAGAGAGGGGUGAGUGUGGUGGAGGUACCUGUACCAGACAGGGGGAGACAGACCAGGGAGAGAGGGGUGAGUGUGGUGGGGGUACCUGUACGAGUCAGGGAGAGACAGGCCAGGGAGAGAGGGGGGAGUGUGGUGGGGGCACCAGUACCAGACAGGAGGAGACAGACCAGGGAGAGAGCGGUGAGUGUGUGGUGGAAGUACAGCAGUACAAAUGUCCGAGUUCACACACAGCUUUGUCUUUCUCCCUUAAUUGCUAUGGGUCUUGUCCCCACAUGCUUCAAGAUGGUCAACAUAUUUCCUGUAUAAAGAAUGCAAAGGUAACUAAACUAAAUGAUUAGAAAGUCACUUCUGUCAUCAUGAAGUGCUUGACCCACUUCAAUUUGCUUACCGCCCAAAUAGGUCCACAGACGAUGCAAUCACCAUCAAAGGUGACCUAUCCCAUUUGGACCAGAGGAAUACCUACACUACCAUUCAAAAGUUUGGCGUCACUUUAAAAAUGUCCUUUAAAAAAAAAAAAAAAAAAAAACAUUUUUUGUCCAUUAAAAUAACAUAACAUUGAUCAGAAAUACAGUGUAGACAUUGUUAAUGUUGUAAAUUACUAUUGUAGCUGGAAACGGCAGAUUUUUUAUGUAAUAUCUAAUAUGCGUACAUUAU
This is a long non-coding RNA of Oncorhynchus tshawytscha (Chinook salmon), 699 nucleotides long. The record is from Ensembl. NCBI's taxonomy places the organism in Eukaryota, Metazoa, Chordata, Actinopteri, Salmoniformes, Salmonidae.